UUAAGUUUCAAUCUUGCGACCGUACUUCCCAGGCGGCAGACUUAACGGCUUCCCUGCGGCACAGCAUUGGCCAUAAACCAACGCUUCACCGAGUCUGCAUCGUUUACAGCUGGGACUACCCGGGUAUCUAAUCCGGUUUGCUCCCCCAGCUUUCAUCCCUCACUGUCGAACGUGUUCUGGCGGACCGCCUUCGCCACUGGUGGUCUUCCGCGGAUCAAAGGAUUUUACCCCUACACGCGGAGUACCGUCCGCCUCUCCCGCCUCCUAGUCCCGCAGUAUCCUCUGCAGGCCAGCCGUUGAGCGACUGGAUUUAACAGAGGACUUACGGAACCGGCUACGGGUGCUUUAGGCCCAAUAAUCGUCCCGACCACUCGAGGAGCUGGUAUUACCGCGGCGGCUGACACCAGACUUGCCCUCCCCUUAUUC
RNAcentral lists this ribosomal RNA (426 nucleotides) under uncultured archaeon. Its description in RNAcentral is "partial 16S ribosomal RNA". The record is from RNAcentral.